Molecule: ribosomal RNA, 761 nt
Filed under: Rehmanniella wirthii
Lineage: Eukaryota; Fungi; Ascomycota; Lecanoromycetes; Teloschistales; Teloschistaceae
Description: eukaryotic LSU rRNA
Rfam family: Eukaryotic large subunit ribosomal RNA
Source: RNAcentral
CGGGUGCGGCGCCGGUCUAAGUCCCUUGGAACGGGGCGUCAUAGAGGGUGAGAAUCCCGUAUGUGACCGGGUACUAUGCCCAUGUGAAGCUCCUUCGACGAGUCGAGUUGUUUGGGAAUGCAGCUCAAAAUGGGUGGUAAAUUUCAUCUAAAGCUAAAUACCGGCCAGAGACCGAUAGCGCACAAGUAGAGUGAUCGAAAGAUGAAGAGCACUUUGGAAAGAGAGUCAAAAAGUACGUGAAAUUGUUGAAAGGGAAGCGCUUGCAACCAGAUCUGUACGCGGGCGAUCAGCCGUCCUUCUGGGCGGUGCACGCGCCCGCGAACAGGCCAGCAUCGGUUCUGGCGGCCGGAGAAAGACCUUGGGAACGUAGCUUCUCUCGGGGAGUGUUAUAGCCCAGGGUGCCAUGCGGCCAGCUAGGACCGAGGACCGCGCUUCGGCAAGGAUGCUGGCGUAAUGGUUGUAAGCGGCCCGUCUUGAAACACGGACCAAGGAGUCUAACAUUUAUGCGAGUGUUUGGGUGUCAAACCCAUGCGCGGAAUGAAAGUGAACGGAGGUGGGAAUAUAAAAGGGCGCACCAUCGACCGAUCCAGAUGUCAUCGGAUGGAUUUGAGUACGAGCAUAACUGUUAGGACCCGAAAGGUACAUACUUUUCCUUUUAUCUGCUAAUCCCUUGUUUUUGGCCCGGGGUUUAAUGAACAGAUGCUAAUAUACAAUUCUUUCCAGAUGGUGAACUAUGCCUGAAUAGGGUGAAGCCAGAGGAA